Molecule: long non-coding RNA, 535 nt
Organism: Ostrea edulis (European flat oyster)
Lineage: Eukaryota; Metazoa; Mollusca; Bivalvia; Ostreida; Ostreidae
Exons: 3
Source: RefSeq, a predicted model, not a curated record
UGUGCAAGCAGGAAGGAUGGCAGCACAUACUAAUUUCCUGGUGAAACCUUUUACACACAACACAUCACCUCUUUUAUCGAAUCACCGAUAGUCAGUGACUGAGAUAAGCAAAAGGCUUAAUGUUUUGUGUAACAUGGUUGUACAUGCAUCAGGUCAAAGAGGUCACAGGGGCUUCACCUUAGACAGCUGACUGAACAUAGGAUGGGAUCAAAUGGACACUUACUAUUUCUGCUGACUUGACCAGGUCCCCCGAGGGUCCAUCCCUGGUGAAGGUGAAAACCUGUAGGACAUUCUGUGUGUUACUCCCGACAACCAGAGAUCUCAGGCUGGGCUGUAAAUGAAAGCAACAUCUUAAGCAUAUUAAGGCUGCAACGAUUAACUGAAAUGUCGAUACUGUUCAAUAUAAAUGCUCGAUUCAAUGUUUGACUCAUUGACUCGAUUUUUGGUUCGAUGCAUUCAGUAAAAUACAUCAGGCUUGCCCUGUACUUAUUAUUUUUACCUGCAUGAGGAACAAAAUAAAGUCAAAGAAAGUUCA